CAUGGGUUCCUUGUUAUAUCACCAUAUUUUAUGCUUUCUAUUUUAAUGCACCUAUAUACCUGGUAAAAGGUGGAAGGCUCGGCCUUUCUAGCCUGGUGUUUUGUUCCACCUUUGCCCCCUUAGUUUCGGCUACCGGUGUUAUGUUCCAUAAAUGAGCGCUCCUAACACGACCGCGGUUGUUAUGGGGACCCCCUUGAUAAUUCGUUUUAGAUUAAGGCUGGUCUGGCAAGGCCCAACUUUGGUACUACAUUUGCCUAAACACCUAAUAAA
This 270-nucleotide long non-coding RNA is filed under the name Hordeum vulgare. RNAcentral's name for it is "long non-coding RNA (HVUL_LNC014719)". The record is from RNAcentral. Lineage: Eukaryota; Viridiplantae; Streptophyta; Magnoliopsida; Poales; Poaceae.